This is a non-coding RNA of Takifugu rubripes (torafugu), 82 nucleotides long. The record is from Rfam. NCBI's taxonomy places the organism in Eukaryota, Metazoa, Chordata, Actinopteri, Tetraodontiformes, Tetraodontidae.
GCUGUGAUGGCCGAGUGGUUAAGGCGUUGGAUUCGAAAUCCAAUGGGGUUUCCCUUCGUAGGUUCAAAUCCUACUCACAGCG